RNAcentral lists this ribosomal RNA (508 nucleotides) under uncultured bacterium. RNAcentral's name for it is "bacterial SSU rRNA". It matches the Rfam family "Bacterial small subunit ribosomal RNA", at positions 24 to 518 of the family's 1533-position model. The record is from RNAcentral.
UCAGGACGAACGCUGGCGGCGUGCCUAACACAUGCAAGUCGAGCGGGGACAUACGACGGAUAGGAAGUUUCGGAUGGAAUUGAAGAUGUAUUGUUCUAGCGGCGGACGGGUGAGUAACGCGUGAGCAACCUGUCCCUUACAGGGGGAUAACACAGCGAAAGUUGUACUAAUACCGCAUAAGACCACGGGGAGACAUCUUCCAGGGGUCAAAGGAGCAAUCCGGUAAGGGGUGGGCUCGCGUCCGAUUAGAUAGUUGGUGAGGUAACGGCCCACCAAGUCGACGAUCGGUAGCCGACCUGAGAGGGUGAUCGGCCACAUUGGGACUGAGACACGGCCCAAACUCCUACGGGAGGCAGCAGUGGGGAAUAUUGGGCAAUGGGGGGAAACCCUGACCCAGCAACGCCGCGUGAGGGAAGAAGGUUUUCGGAUCGUAAACCUCUGUCCUUGGUGAAGAGGAAGAGACGGUAGCCAAGGAGGAAGCCCCGGCUAACUACGUGCCAGCCGCUGC